AUCUAUGGCCAUAACACCCUGCAUGCACCAAUCUUGUCUGGUCUCGGAAACUAAGGCAGGGUCGGGCUAGUUAGUACUUGAAUGGGAGAAAAUAUUGAUUAUACUGUCUAGGAAUAAAUAUAUUAUGGAUU
This 131-nucleotide ribosomal RNA is filed under the name Castor canadensis (American beaver). Lineage: Eukaryota; Metazoa; Chordata; Mammalia; Rodentia; Castoridae. The record is from RNAcentral.